Molecule: ribosomal RNA, 370 nt
Filed under: uncultured eukaryote
Lineage: Eukaryota
Description: partial 18S ribosomal RNA
Rfam family: Eukaryotic small subunit ribosomal RNA
Source: RNAcentral
CAAUAGCGUAUAUUAAAGUUGUUGCAGUUAAAAAGCUCGUAGUUGGACCUUGGACCUGGACAGGCGGUCCGCCUCACGGCGUGUACUUUCUUGCUGGGUCUUUCCUCUUGGUGAUCUGUUGUUUCGGCAGCAGGGAACCAGGACUUUUACUUUGAAAAAAUUAGAGUGUUCAAAGCAGGCUCGACGCCGGAAUAUAUUAGCAUGGAAUAAUAAAAUAGGACGUGCGGUUCUAUUUUGUUGGUUUUUGGAAUCGCCGUAAUGAUUAAUAGGGACAGUCGGGGGCAUUAGUACUCACAUGCUAGAGGUGAAAUUCUUGGAUUUUGUGAAGACUAACUUCUGCGAAAGCAUUUGCCAAGGAUGUUUUCAUUAA